UACGUGUGGAGCAAGCGUUUUUCGGAAUUAUUGGGCAUAAAGGGCGCGUAGGUGGAGUGUCGUGUCCGUGGUGAAAUCCCCCGGCUUAACCGGGGAAUUGCCGCGGAAACUGGCAUUCUAGAGUGAAACAGGGGUGAGUGGAACUCUGGGUGUAGCGGUGAAAUGCGUAGAUAUCCAGGGGAACGCCGGUGGCGAAAGCGGCUCACUGGGUUUUAACUGACACUGAGGCGCGAAAGCGUGGGGAGCAAACAGG
RNAcentral lists this ribosomal RNA (253 nucleotides) under uncultured bacterium. RNAcentral's name for it is "partial 16S ribosomal RNA". It matches the Rfam family "Bacterial small subunit ribosomal RNA", at positions 524 to 776 of the family's 1533-position model. The record is from RNAcentral.